GAAAAUAAUGAAACUGUAUGGUGCAGAAAGUGUCUUUUCCAUUACAGUUUCUGCUGCUGGGCAAGCAGUAUAUCACUAUACGGCUUCUGUACCGUGAAAUGAAGCUUAUGAUAAAUAAAAUACUGCUGCUUGCUGUUCACUGAUUCAAGAUCGUUCAGUGGCUACCAUUGGCCAACCUUACCAACGGGAUAUAAUAAGAACUGAUGCAGGUUUAUGCACCCGUAGCCAAGUAACAGCAAUGCGAGUUAAAAUGAGUUG
Molecule: long non-coding RNA, 258 nt
Organism: Armigeres subalbatus
Lineage: Eukaryota; Metazoa; Arthropoda; Insecta; Diptera; Culicidae
Exons: 3
Source: RefSeq, a predicted model, not a curated record